UACGUAGGAGGCAAGCGUUAUCCGGAUUUACUGGGCGUACAGCGCAUUAAGGCGGCCGGCAAAGUUGGUUGUGAAAUCUCAGGGCUCAACCCUGAAACUGCGUCCAAUACUAGUCGGCUAGAGUGUGAGAGAGGAAAGUGGAAUUCCGCGUGUAGCAGUGAAAUGCGUAGAGAUGCGGAGGAACACCGAUGGCGAAGGCAGCCCCCUGGGUCGACACUGACGCUCAGGCACGAAAGCGUGGGGAGCACACAGG
This 253-nucleotide ribosomal RNA is filed under the name uncultured prokaryote. RNAcentral's name for it is "partial 16S ribosomal RNA". It matches the Rfam family "Bacterial small subunit ribosomal RNA", at positions 524 to 776 of the family's 1533-position model. The record is from RNAcentral.